RNAcentral lists this ribosomal RNA (450 nucleotides) under uncultured bacterium. Its description in RNAcentral is "bacterial SSU rRNA". It matches the Rfam family "Bacterial small subunit ribosomal RNA", at positions 355 to 825 of the family's 1533-position model. The record is from RNAcentral.
UGGGGAAUAUUGCGCAAUGGGGGAAACCCUGACGCAGCGACGCCGCGUGUGGGAUGAAGGUCUUCGGAUUGUAAACCACUGUCGCGAGGGACGAAGCUCUGACGGUACCUCGAAAGGAAGCACCGGCUAACUCUGUGCCAGCAGCCGCGGUAAUACAGAGGGUGCGAGCGUUGUCCGGAAUCACUGGGCGUAAAGGGCGCGUAGGCGGCCCGGUAAGUAGGGGGUGAAAUCUCAUGGCUCAACUGUGAGGCUGCCUUCUAGACUGCCAGGCUUGAGCACAGUAGAGGCGAGUGGAAUUCCCGGUGUAGCGGUGGAAUGCGUAGAGAUCGGGAAGAACAUCCGGUGGCGAAGGCGGCUCGCUGGGCUGUUGCUGACGCUGAGGCGCGAAAGCGUGGGGAGCAAACAGGAUUAGAUACCCCUGUAGUCCCUGAGCGGGCUGGCAAGGCGCAU